CGGAACCAUACGGGGUCUUGGUCAAUCCUUAGCAGGUUCACCAUGGGAAUCAUUAGAGAAGUAAAAAAAAAAAAAAGGGGACAAAAGGAAGAGGUGAGAGUCAACUGGUGCCAAAUGAAAACUAGAAAUCUUCCUCCGUGACAACAGAAGGCGACAGGACUCCAUAAAGGCGGAGGUCGUGGGGGGUGCUGGAGCCUAUCCCAGCUGCAUUCGGGCGGAAGGCGGGGUGCACCCUGGACAAGUCGCCACCUCAUCGCAGGGCCAACACAGAUAGACAGACAACAUUAGAUAUUUUCCCCCGGCGAUUCCCGUAAUUUUCUCCCCAUUGACAAUAAAUGGGAAAUAUACAAUCGACUGAAUAUCCCACAUUUCCCAUCCGAUUUGCAACAUUUUUUCAACACCCACACACUCAA
Molecule: long non-coding RNA, 413 nt
Organism: Nerophis lumbriciformis (worm pipefish)
Lineage: Eukaryota; Metazoa; Chordata; Actinopteri; Syngnathiformes; Syngnathidae
Source: RefSeq, a predicted model, not a curated record